AAUAUUACUACAAAUUAAUGUGAUUUGUGUUCACUGUAUUCCAAUCUUCGAUUCUAAUUCCAAUUAUCAGAACUAAAUUAGGGAAGCUGUCAGGCAACCCAACUCAAGCGUUCCCGGUCGGAGUUCUAAUAAGGACUUAAGAUAUUUGUACCUGAACGUCUCCGGAGUGAAGAGUCGAGAAGAUGGACAUCUUCGAAGGAUAUGACCCCUCUACUUUGUUCGCAGGACUCUAUCUAUUUAUUUGGGUUUGUGGUUGCUUUGGCAAUGAUAAUAUGUUUUGGAACAUUCUCAUGUUCUUUUCGGUUCUGUGCACUCUACUAUGCUUGUACCGCAUUACUAAUAAUGAGCUAUAAAGCCAUGGAGUGUAUUUUGUAACCAAUGUAGUAAAUAUUAUGACGAAAAAUAUGUAUUUUCUAGUAUAUUAUUGAAUAAUUUCUUUUUAAAUUUUGAUGUUUUCAAACAGUGAAAUAGCAACACAGAUAAAAGAGAUGUCACAGACCUGGCUAGUGAGGUAGUUCAAGAAGGUUUUUAGAACAGAAUAUCUAACAAAGAGAAACUUGAAUUCUUGGCUCACUUUCGGGAGAAACAACGUAGUUAAUAUUACUCAUGGCCACAUAGACCAUCCCCAUUGCAUUGAAUAUCAUAGUUAUUCCAGUAUCACGGUAUUUUUUUCGUAAAUACAUGUAUGGAAAAUUUCUAAAUACAAGGAGGUUUUUAAAUCUAAGUUUACAGGCUGAAUAUUUUCUACAGUAAAAGUAGUGUAAUAUAACUUAAAAAUUACUACAUUUUUGGUAUACUAAUAAAAUUAUAAAUAAUACACCAUCAUUAUCAUUGUAUACUAUGUAAAUACUUGUUUUUCUUCAUAAGUAUAUUGUGUAGUGUAGUUUGUAGAAAGUAGGUACCCUGUAGUUGCUAUAAUGAAUUUAACUCGUCGAGUACCGGUUUUGCAGACACAAUUAAAGAACAAUAGGUUGCGGUCACCGGUGACCGCUUGGUAUUUGACAGUUUAAAAAGUAAAAAAUUUAUAGUUAAUAAUUAACUAGUGAAAUCCAUUUUCAGGAUAGUUGGAAUUUUUAUGGAUUUCUUUUGAACAAGAUUACUUUGUUAGAUUGUUUCGUGAGUACAUAUCUUGUUCUUUUGGCUAAGAUAAAAAGUUAUAUGAACAUUCCUUUUCAAAUUGGUAAACAUUUUGUGUAUAGGGCAGCAGCAUUAGUAGAUUUUGACAUGUUUCGAUAGAGUUUUCAAUGAUAUUAUGGCAAAAACAGGGAUAACAAUUAAAAAUGUUUGCUGGAUUUUUCAUAUGGUUUUUUCAUAAUACUAAUGACGGACUAUGUGUACACAGAUUUGUAGCACGCUGACAAAAAAUUCAAUGUAAACUGAAUCUGAAGGGAACUAUUUGCUUACAAACAAGAUUUAUUUUAUCAGCCUUCCGUAAAUCUGUUUUUAAGAGUUGGUUUCCAGUAAAUUAUCUAUCUUUAUGUACUAAAAAUAGGCACAUCCUCCCAAUCCAUUGUCUAUGUCUUACUGUAAUUUACGAAUAACAAUACUUAAUAUUAAUAUACAGUUGAUAAUA
Spodoptera litura is the source of this 1573-nucleotide long non-coding RNA. RefSeq lists it as uncharacterized. Lineage: Eukaryota; Metazoa; Arthropoda; Insecta; Lepidoptera; Noctuidae. The record is from RefSeq and is a predicted model, not a curated record.